Molecule: transfer RNA, 74 nt
Filed under: Eubacteriales bacterium
Lineage: Bacteria; Bacillati; Bacillota; Clostridia; Eubacteriales
Description: tRNA-Ile
Rfam family: tRNA
About the family: Transfer RNA (tRNA) molecules are approximately 80 nucleotides in length. Their secondary structure includes four short double-helical elements and three loops (D, anti-codon, and T loops).
Source: RNAcentral
GGACCUUUAUCUCAGAGGGUUAGAGGGACCGGCUCAUAACCGGUAUGUCCUGGGUUCGAAUCCCAGAAGGUCCA